CCUACGGGGGGCAGCAGUGAGGAAUAUUGGUCAAUGGACGAGAGUCUGAACCAGCCAAGUAGCGUGAAGGAUGACUGCCCUAUGGGUUGUAAACUUCUUUUAUAUGGGAAUAAAAUGUUCCACGUGUGGGAUUUUGUAUGUAACAUAUGAAUAAGGAUCGGCUAACUCCGUGCCAGCAGCCGCGGUAAUACGGAGGAUCCGAGCGUUAUCCGGAUUGAUUGGGUUUAAAGGGAGCGUAGGUGGAUUGUUAAGUCAGUUGUGAAAGUUUGCGGCUCAACCGUAAAAUUGCAGUUGAAACUGGCAGUCUUGAGUACAGUAGAGGUGGGCGGAAUUCGUGGUGUAGCGGUGAAAUGCUUAGAUAUCACGAAGAACUCCGAUUGCGAAGGCAGCUCACUGGACUGCAACUGACACUGAGGCUCGAAAGUGUGGGUAUCAAACAGGAUUAGAUACCCUGGUAGUC
Molecule: ribosomal RNA, 460 nt
Filed under: uncultured bacterium
Lineage: Bacteria
Description: partial 16S ribosomal RNA
Rfam family: Bacterial small subunit ribosomal RNA
Source: RNAcentral